Molecule: long non-coding RNA, 654 nt
Filed under: Drosophila melanogaster (fruit fly)
Lineage: Eukaryota; Metazoa; Arthropoda; Insecta; Diptera; Drosophilidae
Description: long non-coding RNA:CR44846 (Dmel_CR44846)
Source: RNAcentral
AUUUCGGCAAAAGUGAAAAAUCAUUCACAUAACCCACCCAGUCACACACCCAGUCGCACACACACUUCUCAUUGUCGCAGCUUCGGCACACGUGCUGCGGAAUGGCUAAAGAAUGGCAAAAAUGGCAGUGAUGUGGCCUUAACACCACUUUGGUGGGGCUGGCUCACCACAAACACUAGGUUAUAAUUUACUCAAAGAAAAAAGAGCUGCUGUUGGUGGAAAAUGGAAACUUUUACCAUUGGACCACAAUAACCAGCUAAAUAACAAGCUCUUGGAAAACCAGGAAAACAGCCAACUAUUUAGCAUACCACGUAGCCCGAGAAGGAAAUUUAAUUAAUUUACUCCGCCUGGUCAUCCUGUGAGCAUUUGUCUCAUGGCCUGGACAAGCCAUAAACUGGAAAGUUACGAGUAUUUUCAGCAGCUGCAGCUACUUCAUUAUGUGACUGAUGAUGUACAGCAGAGUUCCAUGGAAGUUAUCAGGCUUUUUUUUCCCUCCAUUUUUGAUGUCUUUACUUGAGCGCGCGAAAGGAUGGACGGAAGCAUCCAGCUUGUCUUUAUGGCCGUCAAGGAGCGAUGUUCAAGGAAAACUUUCCAGAAUGGCGCCGGCGAGAGGCAAAAAUACAAAAAAAAAAAAGAAUACGAAAAUUGGCACAU